AGCAGCCGCGGUAAUUCCAGCUCCAAUAGCGUAUAUUAAAGUUGCUGCAGUUAAAAAGCUCGUAGUUGAAUUUCGGGGUCAAUAUGUUGGUCGUGCCUUGGUACGUACUAGCUUAUUGAUUUCUCCUUUCUGACGAACCAUGAUGUCAUUAAUUUGGUGUCAUGGGGAAUCAGGACUGUUACUUUGAAAAAAUUAGAGUGUUUAAAGCAGGCUCGCGCUUGAAUACAUUAGCAUGGAAUAUGAAAUAGGACAUUUGAUUCUAUUUUGUUGGUUUCUAGGAUCGAUGUAAUGAUUAAUAGGGAUAGUUGGGGGCAUUAGUAUUCAAUUGUCAGAGGUGAAAUUCUUGGAUUAUUGAAGACUAACUACUGCGAAAGCAUUUGCCAAGGAUGUUUUCAUUAAUCAAAAACGAAAGUUAGGGGAUCGAAGACGAUCAGAUACCGUCGUAGUCUUAACCAUAAACUAUGCCGACUAGGGAUCGGAUGAUGUUAAUUUUUUAAUGACUCAUUCGGCGCCUUACGGG
RNAcentral lists this ribosomal RNA (520 nucleotides) under uncultured Glomus. RNAcentral's name for it is "SSU rRNA". It matches the Rfam family "Eukaryotic small subunit ribosomal RNA", at positions 569 to 1094 of the family's 1831-position model. Lineage: Eukaryota; Fungi; Glomeromycota; Glomeromycetes; Glomerales; Glomeraceae. The record is from RNAcentral.